CGGACGGGUGAGUAAUGUCUGGGAAACUGCCCGAUGGAGGGGGAUAACUACUGGAAACGGUAGCUAAUACCGCAUAACGUCGCAAGACCAAAGAGGGGGACCUCCGGGCCUCGCGCCAUCAGAUGAACCCAUAUGGGAUUAGCUAGUAGGUAAGGUAACGGCUUACCUAGGCGACGAUCCCUAGCUGGUCUGAGAGGAUGAUCAGCCACACUGGGACUGAGACACGGUCCAG
RNAcentral lists this ribosomal RNA (232 nucleotides) under uncultured bacterium. RNAcentral's name for it is "partial 16S ribosomal RNA". It matches the Rfam family "Bacterial small subunit ribosomal RNA", at positions 99 to 334 of the family's 1533-position model. The record is from RNAcentral.